UCGCCAGGUAGCGUUUCUUGAACUCUCAGGAAUUUCAGGAAAGGAAAGAGAAGAGCUUUUCGGGUCGAGAUCCGGCGAAUAACUCCGUCGGGUUUCGUCCGCCCCUGAAUCCGCUUCCGUUCCGGUGCUCCGACCUGUCUCCUUCUCUUCUUUUCCUCCUCCCUCCUCCUCGCAGCUUUCCACAAUGAAAGGUUCCGGUACUCUCGUCGCCUCCAUGGUCGCCGCCUCUACCAUGGCUCUCUCCUCCACGUCUUCCUCUCCCUCCGCUCCGGGUUAUACCUCUGCGGGUGGAAAGAAUGGAGGACAGAGUUCGACUAAGGAGAAAUUCGAGCCGAGAUUCGACGGGCUGAGGUUCAUUGAGACGCUGGUCACAGCGCACAGAUGAAGGAUAAAGACCGCGGAUCCAAUUAAUGGUGAGGAGGAAUUGAUUAGUUUGUGAAAUCCGCAAAUUGGAAUUCAGAGAGAAUUUGUUUUUUUUUUUCUUUUUUAAAUUUGAAGACUUCUGAUGGUGUGAUUGGGUCGGUUUUGGUGUUUGGUAUGUUCUCAAUCUCAUAAUCUCUAACUAAGAAGCCUUAUUUGGGUGUUUCUUAGGGUCAUUUGUGAUCUCUGGCUUCUUUUGUUUACAACUCUGUAUUGUAUUUUCUCUUUGGAGAAAAUUAUUGGGGGUUUAAAUUGUAUAAAUAUUGUUUUGCCAACCCUUUAA
Fragaria vesca subsp. vesca is the source of this 703-nucleotide RNA transcript. RefSeq lists it as uncharacterized. Lineage: Eukaryota; Viridiplantae; Streptophyta; Magnoliopsida; Rosales; Rosaceae. The transcript has 2 exons. The record is from RefSeq and is a predicted model, not a curated record.